RNAcentral lists this ribosomal RNA (408 nucleotides) under Heterosigma akashiwo. RNAcentral's name for it is "partial Bacterial small subunit ribosomal RNA". It matches the Rfam family "Bacterial small subunit ribosomal RNA", at positions 534 to 941 of the family's 1533-position model. The record is from RNAcentral. Lineage: Eukaryota; Raphidophyceae; Chattonellales; Chattonellaceae.
GCAAGCGUUAAUCGGAAUUACUGGGCGUAAAGCGCACGCAGGCGGUCUGUUAAGCUAGAUGUGAAAGCCCCGCGCUCAACGUGGGAUGGUCAUUUAGAACUGGCAGACUAGAGUCUUGGAGAGGGGAGUGGAAUUUCUAGUGUAGCGGUGAAAUGCGUAGAUAUUAGAAGGAACAUCAGUGGCGAAGGCGACUCCCUGGCCAAAGACUGACGCUCAUGUGCGAAAGUGUGGGUAGCGAACAGGAUUAGAUACCCUGGUAGUCCACACCGUAAACGCUGUCUACUAACUGUUUGUGGAUUUAAUCCGUGAGUAGUGAAGCUAACGCGAUAAGUAGACCGCCUGGGGAGUACGGCCGCAAGGUUAAAACUCAAAUGAAUUGACGGGGGCCCGCACAAGCGGUGGAGCAUG